GAAUUCGCCCUUAGAGUUUGAUCCUGGCUCAGGAUGAACGCUGGCGGCGUGCUUAACACAUGCAAGUCGAACGGGAAAUACUUCAUUGAGACUUCGGUGGAUUUGAUCUAUUUCUAGUGGCGGACGGGUGAGUAACGCGUGGGUAACCUGCCUUAUACAGGGGGAUAACAGUCAGAAAUGACUGCUAAUACCGCAUAAGCGCACGGGACCGCAUGGUCCAGUGUGAAAAACUUCGGUGGUGUGAGAUGGACCCGCGUUUGAUUAGCUAGUUGGUGGGGUAACGGCCUACCAAGGCGACGAUCAAUAGCCGACCUGAGAGGGUGACCGGCCACAUUGGGACUGAGACACGGCCCAAACUCCUACGGGAGGCAGCAGUGGGGAAUAUUGCACAAUGGGGGAAACCCUGAUGCAGCGACGCCGCGUGGAGGAAGAAGGUCUUCGGAUUGUAAACUCCUGUUGUUGAGGAAGAUAAUGACGGUACUCAACAAGGAAGUGACGGCUAACUACGUGCCAGCAGCCGCGGUAAAACGUAGGUCACAAGCGUUGUCCGGAAUUACUGGGUGUAAAGGGAGCGCAGGCGGGCGAUCAAGUUGGAAGUGAAAUCCAUGGGCUCAACCCAUGAACUGCUUUCAAAACUGGUCGUCUUGAGUAGUGCAGAGGUAGGCGGAAUUCCCGGUGUAGCGGUGGAAUGCGUAGAUAUCGGGAGGAACACCAGUGGCGAAGGCGGCCUACUGGGCACCAACUGACGCUGAGGCUCGAAAGUGUGGGUAGCAAACAGGAUUAGAUACCCUGGUAGUCCACACCGUAAACGAUGAUUACUAGGUGUUGGGAGAUUGACCCUCUCAGUGCCGCAGUUAACACAAUAAGUAAUCCACCUGGGGAGUACGACCGCAAGGUUGAAACUCAAAGGAAUUGACGGGGGCCCGCACAAGCAGUGGAGUAUGUGGUUUAAUUCGACGCAACGCGAAGAACCUUACCAAGUCUUGACAUCCCUUGGCGAUGCUGGAAACAGUAUUUCUCUUCGGAGCAAGGAGACAGGUGGUGCAUGGUUGUCGUCAGCCCGUGUCGUGAGAUGUUGGGUUAAGUCCCGCAACGAGCGCAACCCUUAUGGUCAGUUACUACGCAAGAGGACUCUGGCCAGACUGCCGUUGACAAAACGGAGGAAGGUGGGGAUGACGUCAAAUCAUCAUGCCCUUUAUGACUUGGGCUACACACGUACUACAAUGGCGUUAAACAAAGAGAAGCAAGACCGCGAGGUGGAGCAAAACUCAGAAACAACGUCCCAGUUCGGACUGCAGGCUGCAACUCGCCUGCACGAAGUCGGAAUUGCUAGUAAUCGUGGAUCAGCAUGCCACGGUGAAUACGUUCCCGGGCCUUGCACUCACCGCCCGUCA
Molecule: ribosomal RNA, 1394 nt
Filed under: uncultured bacterium
Lineage: Bacteria
Description: bacterial SSU rRNA
Rfam family: Bacterial small subunit ribosomal RNA
Source: RNAcentral